AUAUAUAUAUAUAUAUAUAUAUAUAUUAUCAUAUCAGACACACACGCAAACGGUCUCUGUAUAAAUUGUACAAAGUUAUUCUAACGAGAUUAGUCAUUAGUUAUUAAUUUAUACGCCGUAUCGAUUAAAGUCGUAUUACGUAACGAGAAAGACAUGUAAGGUGUUUCGUGUACUCUGUUUAUUACACACGUAUGCAACACGAUAUGACACGUAAAAUUGAAAACUCGCUAGAAAUGUGCGUUUCGAAGUUGUACUGCCGAUGCAAAGUGUGUUAUUUUCAAAUGCGUACCUGAUUCCGAUUUUAUUAAAUGUUUCCGCCGCCGCGGUCUAAUUUUUCUCAUGGGAUGGAUAAUUAUAAAUGUGAAUCAUAAAUUUAAAUAUCAUAUGUUCAUAAAACUUUUUUUUAUUAAUAUUAUAUUAUUAUUAGAGAUAAAGUAUUAUAAAAAUAAAAAUAUAAAAAGUUGUUAGAAUUUGUGAAAUAAUGAAAGCGAUAUAUGUAACACGAUUCGUAAAUAAUUUUUAAAUUUUUACACUUUGAAAAGUGAUACUCCUUAGGCCUUUGUAUAUUUUUUCUUCCGCAUUUAUUUUUUAGUUUUCUUUGCGAUCUGUGGAAUUUUAGAUCGAAAACGCAACGAAAUUAAUUUGCAUUCGUAGUGAAAGCACGUUUGCAUGGGGAUUAAAAAAAUUGUACACUAUGAAAACCGUGAAAUUAUAUUACUGUAUGUGGACUCUCGUCUUUCUUUCCUUUGAAACGCAUAUUUUUAAUAAGAGAGAGAGAGAGAGAGAGAGAGAGAGAGAGAGAGAAUGUUGCGUCUAUUCGUAGAAUUUACAAUGUCGCAUUUACGGAUGAUUCGGAUCAGCGUUUUUCGCAUUAUAUUUCGAUAGACUUCGGAUUUAAAGAGAAGAGCUAUAUAAAUCUCAGAAUAAACGUCAUGUAAUGAAUAAAACAUUUACUACAAGAAAAUUGUCACAAGAAUUUCAUUUUUAACGAAUAAAUUUGCAUAUAUGCAAAUAUUUAUCAAGACUACGACUGAGAAUGCAUGCAUGUUAAGUACUCCACAUUUAGCAUUUACUAACGACACAGCAUUUCCUGAAUGUGCUACAUAAUUAUUUUAUGCGAAUUUAAUUAUUCAAGAAGAAAGAUUUAAAAAAGUGUAAAUUUUUGAUAAAACCAAAAUGCUAAGUUAUAUUGAAUCCUCUUCACAAUAUGGCCGAUUAUUUAUCGCCGGCUAAUUUCGGAGAAAACACUGUUUCGGAACACCCGUUUAAUUCGUAAUCCGCGCUUUUUAUUAUGUAUAUACUUAACCGAGGUAUUUUGUACGCAUUUUUUUAAGAAAACCUCUCUUCUCUGUCGAUAUUUGGAUUCUUGUUCAUUUUGCGGCAAUACGUUACGCGAAGAUGAGAUUCUGUAAUGAUUUUGUCGAUCUUUCUCCUCCACGUAACGAUGUUGCGAGAAAGCGAGUAGCUUUGUACACGAAUGUAUGCGACUUAUUAAUUACAACUUUCGAUUAAGUAAUAAGUAGCGUUAUCGUAAGAAGCUUGCAUGUAACUCGUUCAGUGACGCGUAGCAAAUCGCUCAAAUUUGUUAUAUAUAUACGCAAUACAAUUAGUUUUAUUCGGUUCACGAACCGAACAUGCCUGAAUAGAAAAAUUAUCCCGCGCGACAGAUAUUACUCACUUGGAUACUCGACAAAUCAUUGCCACCUGUAAAUUCCGUAUAAAAACUGAAAAAAUCAUACACAGGAAUUGCGAUCUCGAAGAUGGUCGAGGCACGGAGAAGAGAAAAAGAAAUAAUUAAAAGCUCUAGCACAGAUAUUGAAAAUUAAAUUUAUUAACUCAGAGAGUUGAACUUAAGUUCUAUCUAGUGAUAUACAAUUAUAUAGCGAUGUAAGUCCCGAUGUGUAUAAAUCUACUUGCGCGCACCAACAUGCGCGCGAGUAAAUUCAUAUUCAAUAAAAAAAAUUCCAUCCAAAAAGCGCAGACGAGGAAAUAAGUAACGAGUAGGUUGAGGAUAUCAUCUCGAUACAAUUUUAGGCUACUAAAAAAAAAAGAAAUAAAGAAAAGCAAGUCGAGACUACUCUAACUAUAGAAGGAAGCAUCUCAGUAAAUGUAAUUAGAUAGGAUGCGUAUUUUAAGUAUCCGUUGUCAGGUACGAGUUCGUGCGACCAUCAGCGAGAGUCGCGUUAAAUCGCGAGAGAAGGGAGAUGUCGAGUUUAAGUAGCCGGCACUUCUAAGGCGUCAAUGCUCCGUCUUUUCUCUUCUCAUCUUCGCGAGAAGAGAUCUUCCUCGAGGAAUAACUGUGUCCGUUAACGUGCGAGUCCAUUUGCGAUAGUUUUACGUACGCAACUCGUAUCCGAAUCGAGAUGAAGACAUUUACACGUUUGAGAAAAACUACAGCUACAAAUCACUGGGUCUGAUUCGCGAGCGGUGGACGCGCAGCUUCCGGAUUAAAUUCGCGCGAACUCGGAUCGGCAUGUCGCGCGAUGCAGCUGUGUAUUAUCGAGGAAGGAUUAUUACAUGCACAUAUAUCUCUUCGAUGGCUAACAGAAUCGUGACUGCUUCGGAAAAGCGCCGUAUUCUCUCCAUUCCUAAAUGAUCGUGAUUCGAGCCAACGGACAUAUUGCCAAACCAUCGUAUCAAUGCGCGAAGGAACGAAAAAAGAUAACGUAUUAUUUUUAUAUAAUUUGUCAUCUUUGUAUUAUUGUUACGAUGGUUGAGAAAGGGGACUUGUAUAAAAUACGAUAGAUUGUAACUCGGUGAAAAGUUGCGCACACACGAUUCGCGUAAACGGCAUUUAACACGGAACACAUACACACAGGAUUAACACAUACGCGCUUAUAACGACAUAACACACAGUUCGUCGAGCAGACUCUUAUUUGUCAGUAGAAUUGCCAUCACGCAUCACAAUGGGAGAAGAAUGCAUUGCAUUUUAACGUUAAGGCGAAACUGCGAUAAUUCGCAUUUGUAGCGGUAUCGAGCUUCUGCGAGAAUCGUUCUCCGAAUUUCAAAUGUAGAAAUGAUCGAGACUACCAGAUAUUAGCAAAUUAGAGUUAUUAACUACAUGUAAAUUGAUCUUUUUUCCAGCCAAAAAUCUCGAAUAAUCGAUAAAUCUCGACCUAUCAAAAGAUUUCCAAUUAUAUUCUUAAAAUCUAAAAAAGUAGAAUAAGAAAAUUAAAUGAAUUAAAAAAACCCCAUCCGCAAACAAUUGGUUUUAAAUCGCACAUAUCUGUACUUGCCAUUGCUCAUUUGAAAUGCAUAGAACCUGUCUUCACGGAAUGCGGAAUAUCAGAUUGUAAAAAGAUUUAACUCUUAGAUUGUGUCAGACGCGCUGAUGACACUCUUCUAUCGGGCUAACGAUGUUUCACCGAUAAAUGAUGUCUGGCAUUCAAAGGGUUAAUUAGACUGUUAGAGAGCUAGAGCUACGUAAAAAUAAUCCAUAUCAUUAAGAACACGAAAUAGAGCGAUUUUUUGUAUUGGAGGUACUGGAAGAGAAAGAGAAAUGAAAAAGAAAUAUAAGCUAUUUCUCUCUUCCUUUCUCUUUCUCUUUCUGGAUUGCGUUUUACGGGCUGCACACGUGUGUCAUACAUCCUACAUACACACUCAACACACGUGGAGAAGAGUCCGUGAAAACGUGUAUUUAGCUCAAUCUUUCCUUUUUAUAUUUUGUAAAUACAGCGGAUAUAUAAAAAUAAAAGUGGUAAACAUUUUUAUAGUUAAUUUUAUAAUUUAUUUACUAUGCGCGAAAGAGAGAGAGAAAGAGAAACAAGGGGAGAAAGUUCGUCUCUCUUCAUUGACCAUCAUUGCACGAAUGAAAUCGACGAGAAUUAAGAGUAAGAUAGGGGUGUACAUGUUACAGAGACACUCGUUACACACACGUAUACAUACACAUAGAAACAUACACGCGCACGAUUGUAGAUAAUUUGUAACAGUUGCUAUUGUCAAGUACCACAUACACGUAUAAAGCGACAUAUGCUGAUAUAUAUCAUUGCGUAUUAUACUGAUAACGAUUAAUAAAAGGUAAUGUUGAAAAUUGAA
Molecule: long non-coding RNA, 4035 nt
Organism: Formica exsecta
Lineage: Eukaryota; Metazoa; Arthropoda; Insecta; Hymenoptera; Formicidae
Exons: 2
Source: RefSeq, a predicted model, not a curated record